RNAcentral lists this unclassified non-coding RNA (347 nucleotides) under soil metagenome. RNAcentral describes it as "partial contains 5.8S ribosomal RNA, internal transcribed spacer 2, and large subunit ribosomal RNA". The stretch from base 1 to 120 matches the Rfam family "5.8S ribosomal RNA", at positions 35 to 154 of the family's 154-position model. The record is from RNAcentral.
GAUGAAGAACGUAGCAAAAUGCGAUAAGUAAUGUGAAUUGCAGAAUUCAGUGAAUCAUCGAAUCUUUGAACGCACAUUGCGCCCGCUGGUAUUCCGGCGGGCAUGCCUGUUCGAGCGUCAUUUCAACCCUCAAGCCCCCGGGUUUGGUGUUGGGGAUCGGCUCUGCCCUUCUGGGCGGUGCCGCCCCCGAAAUACAUUGGCGGUCUCGCUGCAGCCUCCAUUGCGUAGUAGCUAACACCUCGCAACUGGAACGCGGCGCGGCCAUGCCGUAAAACCCCAACUUCUGAAUGUUGACCUCGGAUCAGGUAGGAAUACCCGCUGAACUUAAGCAUAUCAAUAAGCGAGGA